AGAUUGAACGCUGGCGGCAGGCCUAACACAUGCAAGUCGAGCGGCAGCACGGGUACUUGUACCUGGUGGCGAGCGGCGGACGGGUGAGUAAUGCCUAGGAAUCUGCCUGAUAGUGGGGGAUAACGUUCGGAAACGGACGCUAAUACCGCAUACGUCCUACGGGAGAAAGUGGGGGAUCUUCGGACCUCACGCUAUCAGAUGAGCCUAGGUCGGAUUAGCUAGUUGGUAGGG
RNAcentral lists this ribosomal RNA (231 nucleotides) under uncultured soil bacterium. Its description in RNAcentral is "partial 16S ribosomal RNA". It matches the Rfam family "Bacterial small subunit ribosomal RNA", at positions 26 to 257 of the family's 1533-position model. The record is from RNAcentral.